CCUACGGGAGGCUGCAGUGGGGAAUAUUGGACAAUGGGCGAAAGCCUGAUCCAGCCAUGCCGCGUGUGUGAAGAAGGCCUUCGGGUUGUAAAGCACUUUCAGUGGGGAAGAAAGCCUUGGGGCUAAUACCCUCGAGGAAGGACAUCACCCACAGAAGAAGCACCGGCUAACUCCGUGCCAGCAGCCGCGGUAAUACGGAGGGUGCGAGCGUUAAUCGGAAUUACUGGGCGUAAAGCGCGCGUAGGCGGUCUGAUAAGCCGGUUGUGAAAGCCCCGGGCUCAACCUGGGAACGGCAUCCGGAACUGUCAGGCUAGAGUGCAGGGGAGGAAGGUAGAAUUCCCGGUGUAGCGGUGAAAUGCGUAGAGAUCGGGAGGAAUACCAGUGGCGAAGGCGGCCUUCUGGACUGACACUGAGGCUGAGGUGCGAAAGCGUGGGUAGCAAACAGGAUUAGAUACCCUGUAGUC
This 464-nucleotide ribosomal RNA is filed under the name Vreelandella stevensii. RNAcentral's name for it is "partial 16S ribosomal RNA". It matches the Rfam family "Bacterial small subunit ribosomal RNA", at positions 338 to 795 of the family's 1533-position model. The record is from RNAcentral. Lineage: Bacteria; Pseudomonadati; Pseudomonadota; Gammaproteobacteria; Oceanospirillales; Halomonadaceae.